GGACUAGCUGAUUGCUUAACUUCCUCUCAGUUCUAACAGUUCUUAACACUCGAUUAUCUACAUGAAGAUGUGAAGGGGAGAGAUGAGCAGGCAUUCAGAAAAAGCGGAUGACACAGGCAUUCAUAGUUCGAGCAUUGUGUGUGUGUAUUUUUAUUUUUGGCCGCACCACGUGGCAUGUGGGAUCUUAACUCUCCGACCAGAGAUCAAACCCUGCAGUGGAAGCAUGGAGUCUUAAACACUGGACCAUCAGGAACGUCUCCACUGCUGGCCACACCCUCUCCGGGGUGCGGAUCCCGGGAACCCUGGCCGGACCUCAUUGGCCUGCGGCGCCGCCACUCGGUGAGACGUGCCUCAACCCGGAAGUGUGAGAGGCGAAAUCUGCCUAGCAACCGGGGAAGCCGGGCUGCGAAGCGGGCAAUUUCAGUGUGAGACGGAGCGGCGA
Bos taurus (domestic cattle) is the source of this 442-nucleotide long non-coding RNA. Lineage: Eukaryota; Metazoa; Chordata; Mammalia; Artiodactyla; Bovidae. The record is from Ensembl.